RNAcentral lists this ribosomal RNA (465 nucleotides) under uncultured bacterium. RNAcentral's name for it is "partial 16S ribosomal RNA". It matches the Rfam family "Bacterial small subunit ribosomal RNA", at positions 29 to 507 of the family's 1533-position model. The record is from RNAcentral.
AUGAACGCUGGCGGCGUGCUUAGCACAUGCAAGUCGAACGAUGAAGCCCAGCUUGCUGGGUGGAUUAGUGGCGAACGGGUGAGUAACACGUGAGUAACCUGCCCUUAACUCUGGGAUAAGCCUGGGAAACUGGGUCUAAUACCGGAUAGGAGCGUCCACCGCAUGGUGGGUGUUGGAAAGAUUUAUCGGUUUUGGAUGGACUCGCGGCCUAUCAGCUUGUUGGUGAGGUAAUGGCUCACCAAGGCGACGACGGGUAGCCGGCCUGAGAGGGUGACCGGCCACACUGGGACUGAGACACGGCCCAGACUCCUACGGGAGGCAGCAGUGGGGAAUAUUGCACAAUGGGCGCAAGCCUGAUGCAGCGACGCCGCGUGAGGGAUGACGGCCUUCGGGUUGUAAACCUCUUUCAGUAGGGAAGAAGCGAAAGUGACGGUACCUGCAGAAGAAGCACCGGCUAACUACGUG